GAAAUUCUGGCGGACACUAAGGAAAGGAAGCUGAUGCUGAUGGCUUUCUGCUUCUGGUCUGGAAUGGCCCCAUCCCUCUGGUUCUGCUCAGCAACCUCUCUGAGCUGUGAGAACAUAGAAACUGGAGUGAAAUGACUCACACAAGACACCUGCCCUGCUGGUGGAUGGAAGCAAAGGGAGACCCAGGAGAAGACUCUCAAUAUGAUUGCUUGAGAGGAAAUAUGGAUUAGCUGGGUCAUUUAUAUGCUAUUGCUGUUGGAUGCUCUUCUUUGUAUCAUGGCUUCCUUGGAAUUAUGGCUCAGAUGCCUCCUUUGUCUGUCCCUAAAUCAAGCUCCCUGCUCAGAGGAUGCCAUCAAAAAUGCACUGCAGACAACAAAGCUUCCUUGGCCAUCAGGAGUCUGAGAUCAUGACAUACCUAAAAUAUGAUUCCAGUGGAUGCUGGCUUCCUUCCUUUUCUUG
Molecule: long non-coding RNA, 459 nt
Filed under: Numida meleagris (helmeted guineafowl)
Lineage: Eukaryota; Metazoa; Chordata; Aves; Galliformes; Numididae
Description: lncRNA (ENSNMEG00000018211.1)
Source: RNAcentral